This 75-nucleotide transfer RNA is filed under the name Escherichia coli. RNAcentral describes it as "tRNA-Met". The stretch from base 6 to 65 matches the Rfam family "tRNA", at positions 7 to 64 of the family's 71-position model. From Rfam's summary of the family: Transfer RNA (tRNA) molecules are approximately 80 nucleotides in length. Their secondary structure includes four short double-helical elements and three loops (D, anti-codon, and T loops). Further hydrogen bonds mediate the characteristic L-shaped molecular structure. tRNAs have two regions of fundamental functional importance: the anti-codon, which is responsible for specific mRNA codon recognition, and the 3' end, to which the tRNAs corresponding amino acid is attached (by aminoacyl-tRNA synthetases). tRNAs cope with the degeneracy of the genetic code in two manners: having more than one tRNA (with a specific anti-codon) for a particular amino acid; and 'wobble' base-pairing, i.e. permitting non-standard base-pairing at the 3rd anti-codon position. The record is from RNAcentral. RNAcentral also lists the same sequence under 4 other names. Lineage: Bacteria; Pseudomonadati; Pseudomonadota; Gammaproteobacteria; Enterobacterales; Enterobacteriaceae.
GCCCUUUAGCUCAGUGGUGAGAGCGAGCGACUCAUAAUCGCCAGGUCGCUGGUUCGAAUCCAGUACAACGCGCCA